AAAGAUUAAGCCAUGCAAGUCUAAGUUUAAGCACAUAAACGGCGAAACUGCGAAUGGCUCAUUAAAUCAGUUAUCGUAUAUUUGAUAGUACCUACUACAUGGAUAACCGUGGUAAUUCUAGAGCUAAUACAUGCUUAAAAUCCCGACUUCGGAAGGGAUGUAUUUAUUAGAUUAAAAACCAAUGCCCUUCGGGGCUCACUGGUGAUUCAUAAUAACUUCUCGAAUCGCAUGGCCUUGCGCCGGCGAUGGUUCAUUCAAAUUUCUGCCCUAUCAAUUUUCGACGGCUGGGUCUUGGCCAGCCGUGGUUACAACGGGUAACGGAGGGUUAGGGCUUGACCCCGGAGAAGGAGCCUGAGGAACGGCUACUACAUCCAAGGAAGGCAGCAGGCGCGCAAAUUACCCAAUCCCGAUACGGGGAGGUAGUGACAAUAAAUACUGAUACAGGGCUCUUUUGGGUCUUGUAAUUGGAAUGAGUACAAUUUAAAUCCCUUAACGAGGAACAAUUGGAGGGCAAGUCUGGUGCCAGCAGCCGCGGUAAUUCCAGCUCCAAUAGCGUAUAUUAAAGUUGUUGCAGUUAAAAAGCUCGUAGUUGAACCCUGGGCCUGGCUGGCCGGUCUGCCUCACCGCAUGCACUGGUCCGGCCGGGCCUUUCCCUCUGGGGAGCCGCAUGCCCUCCACUGGGUGUGUCGGGGAACCAGGACUUUUACUGUGAAAAAAUUAGAGUGUUCAAAGCAGGUAUAUGCUCGAAUACAUUAGCAUGGAAUAAUAGAAUAGGACGUUGCGGUUCUAUUUUGUUGGUUUCUAGGACCGCCGUAAUGAUUAAUAGGGA
Molecule: ribosomal RNA, 829 nt
Filed under: uncultured Chrysoporthe
Lineage: Eukaryota; Fungi; Ascomycota; Sordariomycetes; Diaporthales; Cryphonectriaceae
Description: SSU rRNA
Rfam family: Eukaryotic small subunit ribosomal RNA
Source: RNAcentral